Non-coding RNA from Scheffersomyces amazonensis, 112 nucleotides. The record is from the annotation of a RefSeq genome assembly. Lineage: Eukaryota; Fungi; Ascomycota; Pichiomycetes; Serinales; Debaryomycetaceae.
GAUCCCAUAGUGUAGUGGUUAUCACUCCGGUUUCUGAAGGUUUUUUCUUAAGUCAUUAAGAGAAAUUCAACUGAAUAUGCUGGCAACUCGGGUUCGAAUCCCGAUGGGGUCU